UGGGGAAUUUUGCACAAUGGGGGAAACCCUGAUGCAGCGACGCCGCGUGAUUUAGAAGGCCUUCGGGUUGUAAAAAUCUUUUUUACGGGAUGAAAAUGACAGUACCGUAAGAAUAAGGUCCGGCUAAAUACGUGCCAGCAGCCGCGGUAAUACGUAUGGACCGAGCGUUGUCCGGAAUCAUUGGGCGUAAAGGGUACGUAGGCGGCCUAGUAAGUUAGAAGUGAAAUAAUAUAGCUCAACUAUAUAAAGCUUUUAAAACUGCUAGGCUUGAGUGAUGGAAGAGAAAGUGGAGUUCCUCGUGUAGCGGUGAAAUGCGCAGAUAUUAGGAAGAAUACCGGUGGCGAAGGCGACUUUCUGGUCAUCAUCUGACGCUGAGGUACGAAAGCGUGGGUAGCAAACAGG
This 402-nucleotide ribosomal RNA is filed under the name bacterium. RNAcentral describes it as "partial 16S ribosomal RNA". It matches the Rfam family "Bacterial small subunit ribosomal RNA", at positions 355 to 776 of the family's 1533-position model. The record is from RNAcentral.